GAUGAACGCUGGCGGCGUGCCUAAUACAUGCCAGUCGAGCGAACAGAUGAGGAGCUUGCUCCUCUGACGUUAGCGGCGGACGGGUGAGUAACACGUGUAUAACCUACCUAUCAGACUGGGAUAACUUCGGGAAACCGGAGCUAAUACCGGAUAAUAUAUUGAACCGCAUGGUUCAAUAGUGAAAGACGGUUUUGCUGUCACUUAUCGAUGGAUCCCGGCCGCAUUAGCUAGUUGGUAGGGUAACGGCUUACCAAGGCUACGAUGCGUAGCCGACCUGAGAGGGUGAUCGGCGACACGGGAACGGAGACACGGUCCAGACGCCUGCGGGAGGCAGCAGUAGGGAAUGGUCCGCAAUGGGCGAAAGCAUGACGGAGCAACGCCGCGUGAGUGAUGGAGGUCUUCGGAGCGUAAAACUCUGUUAUUAGGGAAGAACAAAUGUGUAAGUAAAUAUACACGUCUUGACGGUACCUAAUCAGAAAGCAACGGCUAACUACGUG
Molecule: ribosomal RNA, 497 nt
Filed under: uncultured bacterium
Lineage: Bacteria
Description: partial 16S ribosomal RNA
Rfam family: Bacterial small subunit ribosomal RNA
Source: RNAcentral